This 205-nucleotide microRNA precursor is filed under the name Oryza sativa Indica Group (long-grained rice). Its description in RNAcentral is "MIR812 microRNA precursor family". It matches the Rfam family "MIR812 microRNA precursor family". The record is from Rfam by way of RNAcentral. Lineage: Eukaryota; Viridiplantae; Streptophyta; Magnoliopsida; Poales; Poaceae.
AAAAAGACAAACCCUGGUUUCCGUGCCCAACGUUUGACCGUUCGUCUUAUUUGAAAAAAAUAUGAAAAAAAUUAAAAAGAUAAGUCACGCACAAAGUAUUAAUCAUGUUUUAUCAUCUAACAAUAAUAAAAAUACGAAUUAUAAAAAAAUUUUAUAUAAGACGGACAAUCAAAGUUGGACACGGAAAUCCAAGGUUUGUCUUUUU